Molecule: ribosomal RNA, 377 nt
Filed under: uncultured Chloroflexota bacterium
Lineage: Bacteria; Bacillati; Chloroflexota
Description: bacterial SSU rRNA
Rfam family: Bacterial small subunit ribosomal RNA
Source: RNAcentral
UAAUACGUAGGUGGCAAGCGUUGUCCGGAUUUACUGGGCGUAAAGGGCGUGCAGGUGGCUCAUCAAGUCUGGGGUGAAAUCUCCCGGCUCAACCGGGAGGGGUCUCAGGAUACUGAUGGGCUAGAGGGAAGCAGAGGAGAGCGGAAUUCCCGGUGUAGCGGUGAUAUGCGUAGAUAUCGGGAGGAACACCAGUGGCGAAGGCGGCUCUCUGGGCUUUUCCUGACGCUGAGGCGCGAAAGCGUGGGGAGCAAACCGGAUUAGAUACCCGGGUAGUCCACGCCGUAAACGUUGGACACUAGGUGUGGGGGGUAUUGACCCCCUCCGUGCCGCAGCUAACGCAUUAAGUGUCCCGCCUGGGGAGUACGACCGCAAGGUUA